GACGAACGCUGGCGGCGUGCCUAAUACAUGCAAGUCGAGCGAAAAGACGCUGAGCUUGCUCCUCUGACGAUAGCCGCGGACGGGUGAGUAACACGUGUAUCACCUCCCUAUCAGUCUGGGAUCACUUCGGGAAACCGGCGCUAAUCCCGGAUAAUAUAUUGCACCGCAUUGUUGAUUAGAAAGAUACGGUUUUUGUGUCACUUAUAGCUGCAUCUGGGCCGCAUUGGCUGGUUGGUAGGGUAACGGCUUACCAAGGCAACGAUGCGUAACCGACCUGUGAGGGGGAUCGGCGACACUGGAACGUGGACAGGGUCAUGAGGCCUGCGGGAGGCAGCAGUCGGGAACCGUCCGCAAUGGGGGAAAACCUGACGGAGCAAGGGGGCGUGAGAUAUGAAGGUCUUCGGAGCAGAAAACCCUCUUAUGGGGGAAAAACAAAUGUGGAAGGAACCAAGCACGGCGUGACGGUACCUGAUCAGAAAGCCACGGCUAACUACGUG
RNAcentral lists this ribosomal RNA (497 nucleotides) under uncultured bacterium. RNAcentral describes it as "partial 16S ribosomal RNA". It matches the Rfam family "Bacterial small subunit ribosomal RNA", at positions 28 to 507 of the family's 1533-position model. The record is from RNAcentral.